UGGGGAAUUUUGGACAAUGGGCGCAAGCCUGAUCCAGCCAUGCCGCGUGCGGGAAGAAGGCCUUCGGGUUGUAAACCGCUUUUGUCAGGGAAGAAAUCUUCUGAGUUAAUACCUCGGGAGGAUGACGGUACCUGAAGAAUAAGCACCGGCUAACUACGUGCCAGCAGCCGCGGUAAUACGUAGGGUGCAAGCGCUAAUCGGAAUUACUGGGCGUAAAGCGUGCGCAGGGCGGUUUUGUAAGACAGAGGUGAAAAUCCCCGGGCUCAACCUGGGAACUGCCUUUGUGACUGCAAGGCUUGAGUGCGGCAGAGGGGGAUGGAAUUCCGCGUGUAGCAGUGAAAUUGCGUAGAUAUGCGGAGGAACACCGAUGGCGAAGGCAAUCCCCUGGGGCCUGCACUGACGCUCAUGCNCGAAAGCGUGGGGAGCAAACAGGAUUAG
RNAcentral lists this ribosomal RNA (438 nucleotides) under uncultured bacterium. Its description in RNAcentral is "partial 16S ribosomal RNA". It matches the Rfam family "Bacterial small subunit ribosomal RNA", at positions 355 to 781 of the family's 1533-position model. The record is from RNAcentral.